Molecule: ribosomal RNA, 670 nt
Filed under: Xanthomonas translucens
Lineage: Bacteria; Pseudomonadati; Pseudomonadota; Gammaproteobacteria; Lysobacterales; Lysobacteraceae
Description: bacterial SSU rRNA
Rfam family: Bacterial small subunit ribosomal RNA
Source: RNAcentral
GGUGGCGAGUGGCGGACGGGUGAGGAAUACAUCGGAAUCUACCUUUUCGUGGGGGAUAACGUAGGGAAACUUACGCUAAUACCGCAUACGACCUUAGGGUGAAAGCGGAGGACCUUCGGGCUUCGCGCGGAUAGAUGAGCCGAUGUCGGAUUAGCUAGUUGGCGGGGUAAAGGCCCACCAAGGCGACGAUCCGUAGCUGGUCUGAGAGGAUGAUCAGCCACACUGGAACUGAGACACGGUCCAGACUCCUACGGGAGGCAGCAGUGGGGAAUAUUGGACAAUGGGCGCAAGCCUGAUCCAGCCAUGCCGCGUGGGUGAAGAAGGCCUUCGGGUUGUAAAGCCCUUUUGUUGGGAAAGAAAAGCAGUCGGUUAAUACCCGAUUGUUCUGACGGUACCCAAAGAAUAAGCACCGGCUAACUUCGUGCCAGCAGCCGCGGUAAUACGAAGGGUGCAAGCGUUACUCGGAAUUACUGGGCGUAAAGCGUGCGUAGGUGGUUGUUUAAGUCCGUUGUGAAAGCCCUGGGCUCAACCUGGGAAUUGCAGUGGAUACUGGGCAACUAGAGUGUGGUAGAGGAUGGCGGAAUUCCCGGUGUAGCAGUGAAAUGCGUAGAGAUCGGGAGGAACAUCUGUGGCGAAGGCGGCCAUCUGGACCAACACUGACACUGAGGCA